This 300-nucleotide unclassified non-coding RNA is filed under the name Phylloporus sp. Its description in RNAcentral is "partial contains small subunit ribosomal RNA and internal transcribed spacer 1". The stretch from base 1 to 46 matches the Rfam family "Eukaryotic small subunit ribosomal RNA", at positions 1786 to 1831 of the family's 1831-position model. The record is from RNAcentral. Lineage: Eukaryota; Fungi; Basidiomycota; Agaricomycetes; Boletales; Boletaceae.
AAGUCGUAACAAGGUUUCCGUAGGUGAACCUGCGGAAGGAUCAUUAUCAAUUUCAUGUAUUCUUUUUAAUUAAGAGUAUUUUGUUUUUGUGCACUGUUUUUUUUUUCUUCUUAAUUCUUAAGAGAGAGAUUUAUUGUUAUUGAGCUUUAAAACUUGAUAAUAGUAAAAUAAGCUUAACAUUAAGCUUAUUAACGUUACUUCAUAGCUUAAAUUUAAUUAGCUUGGCAUUUAUUUGUCAAGCGAAUUAUAUAAGGGUAAGGCUGAUUUAAGCGAAACGUAGUGUUAUUUCACUUGAGAAAA